Cyprinodon variegatus (sheepshead minnow) is the source of this 417-nucleotide long non-coding RNA. RefSeq lists it as uncharacterized. The transcript is spliced from 3 exons. The record is from RefSeq and is a predicted model, not a curated record. NCBI's taxonomy places the organism in Eukaryota, Metazoa, Chordata, Actinopteri, Cyprinodontiformes, Cyprinodontidae.
ACGCAUGCAGGUAUGCAUCUGAAAAACCAGCUGCUGCAGCUGAUUGGUUUGAGGUUUGCAGAUGACAGAUGACAUUGACUUUGAUGACUACCUCACCUGCAUCGUCCGUCUGGAGAACAUGUUCAGAACUUUCCAGGCCCUGGAUAAGUUUAACAGGGGCAGAGUACAAAUGAACAUGAUGCAGUUCCUUUUGUUGUCAAUGAACGUCUGAGAACCAGAUGGAAGCAGACGGCGCUGGAGGAGGAGCUGGAAGCAGCGACACAUCUCUCUAUUUGACUUUUUCCUUCUUUAAAUGCUUAACCGGUCAUUUAAUGACUAAAUGUGCACCGACGCGUUUAAGUGGUUGAACUUUGAAUUUUGCUGCUUUUUCUUCACUCGUUACCUGAAUGCAAGAAAAUUGUGAAUAAAAACAUUUAA